Molecule: long non-coding RNA, 987 nt
Organism: Nicotiana attenuata
Lineage: Eukaryota; Viridiplantae; Streptophyta; Magnoliopsida; Solanales; Solanaceae
Exons: 3
Source: RefSeq, a predicted model, not a curated record
UAGCGACUAAUUUGGUCGGAAAUAUUUAGUAAAACAGGUUGACUGCUUUGACCAAAUUACUGACCGAAUCAGUCGGAAAGGUUUUUAGAAAAACCUACCAGGGAACAUCUUUCUUUUCCAUUCCUUCUUUUCUUCUUUCUCUCUUCUAUCUCUCACUCAAACUUCCCCCACCCAAACCCGCCACUGCCACCAACCAUCGGCACUCGCCGGCGCCGCUGAAGCUUCGUCGAGACUCUCUACUGCCAGCGCAGCAUCAAGGUUUUCAUUGACUCAACUGUCUUGAUUAUGUUUUACAAUCUUGGGUUUGACGCUGAGUCUUAAUUGGCACAUCUAGAUGUAAAUUGCAAUUCAAUCUAAUUACAAUUAUUUUUAAAAAAUUCUACCAAGGAUAAAUGAUCCAAGCAUACAUACAAUAAAAGGUUGGAAGAAUGGCAACAAACUCAGCCUCCUUCAACUCAACCAACACCUGAUGAUAUGGAUUCACUGUGGACAGAGGCAGCGGGUGGAGUAAACAAAGGCAGAGUCUACGGACUAGGAGUACGUCGACCCACAGGUCAUCCAAACCCACUCUUAGCCAAUUCUUCUUCUCCUCAAAAUAAAGAACAGAUGGAAGAUAUGAGAAACGAAAUUCGUGAAUUGAAGCAACAAUUGGACUCCCAAUACGGAACAUUUGUUAAGAUUCAGAAAUUCAUGAGUAAACAUGGGCAUGAUUUAUAUGAUGAUGAGGAUGAACAAACUGAAUCUGAUGUGUAGUGGUUUAGUUGUGAUGUUUUGGUUGAUUGGUAAACUUGAUUGUGAGAGACAACUUUAUGUAUUACUUUUAAACUUGAAUGUGGGCUACUAUUUGGAUGUUUUUAUGCCAAAAAUUGUUAGGUUUAAAGGUUGGUAUUGUUGGUUUAAGUUGUGUUAAUGGUUGGCAUUGUUGGUUUAGAUUUUGUCAAUGUAUUGUUAAUUUAGAUUGUGUUAAUGUAUUGUUGGUUGGUAUUA